RNAcentral lists this ribosomal RNA (443 nucleotides) under uncultured bacterium. Its description in RNAcentral is "partial 16S ribosomal RNA". It matches the Rfam family "Bacterial small subunit ribosomal RNA", at positions 338 to 795 of the family's 1533-position model. The record is from RNAcentral.
CCUACGGGAGGCAGCAGUGGGGAAUAUUGGGCAAUGGGCACAAGCCUUACCCAGCAAUACCGCGUGAGUGAAGAAGGUCUUCGGAUUGUAAAGCUCUUUGAUCAGGGACGAACAGAUGACGGUACCUGAAGAACAAGCCCCGGCUAACUACGUCCCAGCAGCCGCGGUAAAACGUAGGGGGCGAGCGUUGGUCGGAAGGGAUGGGCGUAAAGGGUGCGUAGGGGGGAUGAUAAGUUAGAAGUGAAAUACCCAGGGCUUAACUCGUGUGCUGCAUCUAAGACUGUUGGGCUUGAGUGCAGGAGAGGGUAAUGGAAUUCCUAGUGUAGCGGUGGAAUGCGUAGAUAUUAGGAGGAACACCAGAGGCGAAGGCGAUUAACUGGACCGUAACUGACGCUGAGGCACGAAAGUGUGGGUAGCAAACAGGAUUAGAUACCCUAGUAGUC